UGUCAAGCUUCCAAGAAAAGCCCUAUACCCGUUAAGGCAUGAUGGCCUGUACCCGAAACCGACACAGGUGGGGUGGUAGAGAAUACCGAGGGGCGCGAGAUAACUCUCUCUAAGGAACUCGGCAAAAUGGCCCCGUAACUUCGGGAGAAGGGGUGCCACCGCAAGGUGGUCGCAGUGAAGAGGCCCAGGCGACUGUUUACCAAAAACACAGGUCUCCGCUAAGUCGCAAGACGAUGUAUGGGGGCUGACGCCUGCCCAGUGCCGGAAGGUUAAGGAAGCUGGUCAGCGUAAGCGAAGCUAGCGACUGAAGCCCCGGUGAACGGCGGCCGUAACAAUAACGGUCCUAAGGUAGCGAAAUUCCUUGUCGGGUAAGUUCCGACCCGCACGAAAGGCGUAACGAUCUGGGCGCUGUCUCGGAGAGAGGCUCGGCGAAAUAGAAUUGUCUGUGAAGAUGCGGACUACGUGCACCCGGACAGAAAGACCCUAUGAAGCUUUACUGUAGCUUGGUAUUGUGCUCGGGCUCGGAAUGCGCAGGAUAGGUGGGAGGCUAUGAACCAUUGCUUGUGGGUGAUGGUGAGCCACUGGUGAGAUACCACUCUUUCCGAGCUAGAGUUCUAACAGCCACCCGUUAUCCGGGGGCUGGACAGUAUCAGGUGGGCAGUUUGACUGGGGCGGUCGCCUCCUAAAAGGUAACGGAGGCGCGCAAAGGUUUGCUCAGGCUGGUUGGAAAUCAGCCGACGAGUGUAAAAGCAGAAGCAAGCUUGACUGUGAGACCUACAAGUCGAACAGGGAGGAAACUCGGCUUUAGUGAUCCGACGGUUCUGCGUGGAAGGGCCGUCGCUCAACGGAUAAAAGUUACUCUAAGGAUAACAGGCUGAUCUCCCCCAAGAGUUCGCAUCGACGGGGAGGUUUGGCACCUCGAUGUCGGCUCAUCGCAACCUGGGGCUGAAGUCGGUCCCAAGGGUUGGGCUGUUCGCCCAUUAAAGCGGUACGCGAGCUGGGUUCAGAACGUCGUGAGACAGUUCGGUCCAUAUCCGGUGCAUGCGCAGGAAUAUUGAGAGGAUUUCUCCCUAGUACGAGAGGACCGGGAGGAACGCACCUCUGGUGUACCAGUUAUCGUGCCAACGGUAAACGCUGGGUAGCCAUGUGCGGAGAGGAUAACCGCUGAAAGCAUCUAAGUGGGAAGCCCACCUCAAGAUGAGUAUUCCCAUGGGGUAACCCAGUAAGGUCACGGGAAGAACACCCGUUGAUAGGCUCUACGUGGAAGCGCAGUAAUGUGUGAAGCGGAGGAGUACUAAUAGACCGAGGGCUUGACC
RNAcentral lists this ribosomal RNA (1316 nucleotides) under metagenome. RNAcentral describes it as "bacterial LSU rRNA". It matches the Rfam family "Bacterial large subunit ribosomal RNA", at positions 1598 to 2925 of the family's 2925-position model. The record is from RNAcentral.